UUGUUUAUGGGAAAAAUCAGCUUUUUCGUUAGUCAAGUAUUGGGUUUUUCCCAUUAGGUAAAACUACCUGCUUUCCCCGUAAUUAGUAAGGAUGUAUAACAACCUAAGGGCUGUUUCAAGGACCAUCCAUAAACAGAUAACAGAAAUAAUAAACUUAAAAGUUUAGGUUUAUGGUGGGUCCCUAGGGUAAUUGAGGGUGCGCGGUGGCCUCUGAUAAAAUUGACGUUACAUAUACGCAAUGCUGCAAGAUGGUGACCUAGUGGGGUUAAUGUACAUUCGGAAUUAAAUGCUCCUACAUCUUGUAAACGUUUAAUUGCACUACUGAUAUUUUCUUCUGUUGGUGGUUCCAACAUUUUACCUAAAUAGAAUAUUAUAAUGGAUAUUAGAAAGUUAAUUAAUGAUAUAAAACUAAAAAUAUAUUUUUAUUACCUAAAACUUCAUGUACUGGCUGUGCUGAAAAGUGGUAGUUGAACCUGAAACAAUUGUUUAAAUUGAAUAAAUAUUGGUAAACUUUACUAUAAGAUUUAAUGUUUUAAUGAACAAUAAUUAUACAUACUUGUACGAGGUAUAUAAAUGAAUAGAUACUCCAG
This is a long non-coding RNA of Bombus huntii, 590 nucleotides long. RefSeq lists it as uncharacterized. The record is from RefSeq and is a predicted model, not a curated record. Lineage: Eukaryota; Metazoa; Arthropoda; Insecta; Hymenoptera; Apidae. The transcript has 3 exons.